UUUCCACCAUCUUAGAUUGUAUUGAUUAUUCUUUGCUGUAACGUCUGUCUCUCACACACGCUCUUUUUCUCUCCCUUUCUGUCCCUCCCUCCCUCUUUCUGCCUCUGUUCUGCCACCUUCUCUACUCUGCGAUCAGCAUUUGGCUUUUUCCAUUUGUGGCAGAUUACUGUAACGCUAUUGUACAACAACUUCCUGCCUCUUUUGGCUCUGGUUCUAAAAACUGUAAAGGCAGAGCUGGUGGCUUCAACUUUUUCCCCUCGGCCUUGAACUACAGGAGCUCUAUAAGGAAAGAAAAGAAGGAAGGAGAUAUGUGUGUGUCUGUUACUGAGGAACUAUUUUCAUUGCAUUUCUACUUUAUAAACAGCUGAGAAUUAAAGAGGGCAAGAGGGGACUACAUGCCUUGCAGAGACAAUGAAAAAGGCUUCUGAAAGAAGAAGAGGAGGAAAAGAGCAAAGAAGAGUUUCUCCUGGGAACAAGCUGGAAAUUACGGACCUAUUCGAUAUCAGACCUCAGAGUGGACAACCUAUCCAAAGAGGGACGCGCCCUAACUGUAACUAACAACUACUUCUGGCAGCCCUUCAACAGCCAAACAUAUUGUCCUGGAUCAGGGCAGCUUUCAUAUGGCAGCAUCAAACUAGGGCAACUUAGAAAAGAAAUCCACAUCAAACUACAGAAUCAAUAAUGGUAUUAAAAUGUUGAUAACAAUGCAUUAAAGCUAAAUUAAUGUGCUUUUUAAUGAGAUAUAGAUUGGGCUGUAAACUAGAACCACUUCUCAUCAUUUGCUCAACUUUAAAUAUGUUAAAGUGAUAGAGACUAGGGAGAAGGCAAAUUAAACUAAGAUUUUUCUAUUAAAUAUUAUCAUAUAUAACCCACCUGUACACAUACGUUUUUUAUUCCUGUGAUAUUACAAGAAUAGAAUCAAAACCUGAUACAACAUCGUAUACUGAUGCAACCAUACUUUCCGAAGAGCCACGUUUUCAGUUGAAGCUAUACAAAACAACAAAACAAAACUACAAUAUUGCAGAAGUAAGCACAACAUGUUGUACUUUGUUGUAAUUGUAUUGUAAUCAUUUGAUAUAAAAAAAGGUCAUAUUAAUUUAAGAAUUCCUUUAAAUAGAGUUGGAAUGUAUCAAUUGUAAUACCUUUACCUUUACAUUAUUGUCAUCAUGAGAGAUAUUUCAGUGUACACUUGUAUAAUUUCAGCAGCAUAAAUAAUGGUUAUUAUUAUUAUUGUGUUAGUUAAACUGCAGUGUAAAAAUACUGAGCUAAGGCACAGGGACAAAUUCUCAAAAGUCAACGAUGGGUUAUAAUUAAAAAUAAAAUGAUCCUUUUCUGUCCAC
Molecule: long non-coding RNA, 1340 nt
Organism: Morone saxatilis (striped sea-bass)
Lineage: Eukaryota; Metazoa; Chordata; Actinopteri; Moronidae
Exons: 2
Source: RefSeq, a predicted model, not a curated record